RNAcentral lists this small nucleolar RNA (87 nucleotides) under Procavia capensis (Cape rock hyrax). Lineage: Eukaryota; Metazoa; Chordata; Mammalia; Hyracoidea; Procaviidae. The record is from RNAcentral.
GGUUUCCCAUGAGUCCAGCACCAAGCUCCCAUCACCCCUCAGAACAGUGACUUCACAACCUUUGACACCUUGGAAUCAGAUGGGCCC